Molecule: ribosomal RNA, 354 nt
Filed under: uncultured bacterium
Lineage: Bacteria
Description: bacterial SSU rRNA
Rfam family: Bacterial small subunit ribosomal RNA
Source: RNAcentral
AGAGUUUGAUCCUGGCUCAGGACGAACGCUGGCGGCGCGCCUAACACAUGCAAGUCGAACGGAGAGAGAAGGAGCUUGCUUCUUCGAGUCGAGUGGCGAACGGGUGAGUAACGCGUGAGGAACCUGCCUCAAAGAGGGGGACAACAGUUGGAAACGACUGCUAAUACCGCAUAAGCCCACGGGCCGGCAUCGACCUGAGGGAAAAGGAGUGAUCCGCUUUGAGAUGGCCUCGGCGUCCGAUUAGCUAGUUGGUGAGGUAACGGCCCACCAAGGCAACGAUCGGUAGCCGGACUGAGAGGUUGAACGGCCACCAUUGGGACUGAGACACGGCCCAGACUCCUACGGGAGGCAGCA